ACCCAAGGGCCACAAGCCGCCCAAGGAGCACGGGCCCAAGCCGGAGAAGCCGCCCAAGGGGAACAAGCCUCCCACCUACACCCCGUCGCCGAAGCCGACGCCGCCGACGCCCAAGCCGACUCCUCCGACGUACACACCGUCGCCGAAGCCGACGCCACCGACGCCGAAGCCUACUCCACCCACGUACACGCCGACGCCGAAGCCCACCCCACCGACGUACACUCCCACGCCAAAACCCACUCCUCCGACGUACACCCCGUCACCCAAGCCACCGGUGACCAAGCCGCCGACCUACACCCCGACUCCCAAGCCCACCCCGCCAACCUACACCCCGUCACCCAAGCCGAAGCCGCCGACCAAGCCACCAACCUACACUCCCACGCCAAAACCCACUCCUCCGACGUACACCCCGUCACCCAAGCCACCGGCGACCAAGCCGCCGACCUACAUCCCGACUCCCAAGCCCACCCCGCCAACCUACACCCCGUCACCCAAGCCGAAGCCGCCGACCAAGCCGCCAACCUACACGCCGUCCCCCAAGCCCACUCCCCCGGCGCCGAAGCCGAAGCCCACUCCCCCGACCUACACCCCGGCGCCGAAGCCGAAGCCCACUCCUCCGACCCCCACCCCAACCCCCAAGCCAACUCCUCCGACCUACACGCCGACCCCCAAGCCAACUCCCACUCCCAGCCCCAAGCCCACGCCACCGACCUAUAAGCCGGCUCCCAAGCCCACGCCGCCGUCGUACAACAAGCCGCCGGCGUCGUCCUACACCCCCAGCCCGCCGCCGCCUUACUACAACUGAAAUCC
RNAcentral lists this long non-coding RNA (810 nucleotides) under Setaria viridis. RNAcentral's name for it is "long non-coding RNA (SVIR_LNC008305)". The record is from RNAcentral. Lineage: Eukaryota; Viridiplantae; Streptophyta; Magnoliopsida; Poales; Poaceae.